UACGAAGGGGGCUAGCGUUGCUCGGAAUCACUGGGCGUAAAGGGUGCGUAGGCGGGUCUUUAAGUCAGGGGUGAAAUCCUGGAGCUCAACUCCAGAACUGCCUUUGAUACUGAAGAUCUUGAGUUCGGGAGAGGUGAGUGGAACUGCGAGUGUAGAGGUGAAAUUCGUAGAUAUUCGCAAGAACACCAGUGGCGAAGGCGGCUCACUGGCCCGAUACUGACGCUGAGGCGCGACGGCGUGGGGAGCAAACCGG
Molecule: ribosomal RNA, 253 nt
Filed under: uncultured bacterium
Lineage: Bacteria
Description: partial 16S ribosomal RNA
Rfam family: Bacterial small subunit ribosomal RNA
Source: RNAcentral